RNAcentral lists this long non-coding RNA (6142 nucleotides) under Lactuca sativa (garden lettuce). RNAcentral's name for it is "long non-coding RNA (LSAT_LNC007350)". Lineage: Eukaryota; Viridiplantae; Streptophyta; Magnoliopsida; Asterales; Asteraceae. The record is from RNAcentral.
AAAAUUCCAACCAAUUUAAAUUUUUCAAAAACAACCCGAUUUCAUUAAAUUAUUACAAAAAGGUUUUCAAUACAAUUUAUUUAGAGUAUUCCCAGAAUCACAUCACAACAUAAACAUGAGGAGCGGUACGAUCACGCAUUCGCCUUGCCAUGGUCUUCUGAAGAACCUGAAAAACAUUAAACCACAACUGUAAGCCCGAAAGCUUAGAGAGAUAUCCCCAAAAUACCAACCACAUAUACCAUACACGCAUAACAUGCCACAUCAUAUCCGAUCACAGAACAGCCAUGCACUUCGGGUCUGCUGUGUGACUGGUCCGCCGCACUGGCCAACAGUCCACAUGGUCCACCCUCCAAGUCUACCCAUAUACAUCGAGUCUAUAGUGUGAUUGGUCCACCCGCACCGGGCCUUCAAUCCACCUUGUCCCCUCUCUGAGUCUACAGCAUGACUGGUCUGCCCGCACCGGGCCUUCAGUCGGCCUGGUCCACUCUCUGAGCCUCGGCACGUCUGGUCCGCCCUCUUGGGGCCUACAGCCUAUCCGGAACGCUUGCUGGGCCUUCGGGACAACCGGUCCAUCCUGAGUAUCUUGGCCUACAGCACAAAGCAGGACCCGCCUCAACCCGACUCCAGUCCAAACAACCAUGUGCACAUAAACAUACAAUCAUAUAACAAUUCACAGUCAACAAGCCGAUCAAACAGACAUAACAUAUCAUCAUCCUAACCAGGAUACCGACCUAACCGGUCACUAGCAUAGCAUCACCAUACAUAUCAGGAUACCGACCUCAACCAGGUCUCUAACAUACACCAUCCUAGCUACCAGAAUGCGAACAUAUCAAAGCAAAACAUAACAACAAAUACCCGGAUCUCAAUCCGAUAAAGGGCUGGCCUUGGUGCCUUAGACCCUGUUGAUAUAGUGAGGAUAACUCACCUCGCAACUGCCAACUAAACUGAUAAACCCGAGCUGCUCCGACCACUGAUAGGAUCUCCACCACUCGCCAACCACCAAAACACUGAACUCAAAACAAUAUCCAACAAUUACCAAAAUGCCCCUGGAGAAUAACUGGUCAACCCUUGGUCAGAGUCAAAGUCAAAGCCAACCCCUGACUGACUCUACUCGCCGAGUCCACAUACACAAAACUUCCCCCAUCCGCGACUUAACUCACCGAGUCACCCCAAGACUCGCCGAGUCCAGCAACUUUGAGUCCUUUCUCACUCGACUCACCGAGUCACAGCUCAACCAGAAGAAACUUGGACCUCACGACCAGACUCGCCGAGUCCAAGGCUAUCUUCAACCUACUCGCCGAGUUGUUCUUCUAACUCGCCGAGUUCCAAACCAUCUUCAAGCAACUCACCGAGUACACCUUUGCGACUCGCCGAGUGCGUCUAGAUCUCAUCCCAUACAGAAGCCUUCCAGGUCAUGCAAAUGAUCCAAAACGUAGAUCUACCCUCCUACAACCCAUCCAUCACGUAAAGUGGCAAACUUUACGUGAAUCCAAAUAGAUCUAGGCAUUUUACACUCUAGGGCUAGGGUUUGGGACAAGAUGGCUUCACCAAACACUUAAGAACAGGUACUUUAAUGCACUGUAGACCUCCUCCAUCCCAGAUCUGAGGUAGAAACCUCAGAUCUAUCCUUCAAAGUCAAAAUACCACAAGCUAAACCUCCCACGCAUCCCAAAAAUGAUGAAUCUAGAUGAAUAGCAGCCCAAGAACGAGAUAAUACCUCAAAAGGAAGCCCCAACAGCAAGGAAAUCCGAAUCUAAGCAAAUCCCCUUACUCCAAACCUCCUAACUCUCCAAGAUCUUCCUCCAAAUCUCUUCUCCAAGGCUCAAUUGCACUCAAAUCCUUCACAAUCGCGUUUCUAGGGUUUUCUGGACUUCAAGGGAAGGUAAGGAGGCUGGGGAGAGGGUAUAAUGUCCUUUAUAUAGGGCUCAUCCUCCGAAAUUAGGGUUUUCUCCACUCAGCACUAACUCGCCGAGUCCAGCCGCUGACUCGCCGAGUUGGUCACUUAACACACGACCAAAAUCGCGACCCUACUCGCCGAGUCCUCUCGUGGACUCGCCGAGUUGCCCUUUCCCAAUUACACUUUUAGCCCUUCAACUUUACUCUUGAUAUUCCGGGAUGUUACAAUUCUCCCUCUCUUAAAUUAGGCUUUGUCCUCGAAGCCUGUGACAACUCAACUCCAGAAUUACUCCGCAACACACCACCUGGCAUUAACCAAACCAGGUUCCUCAAAGCACAACCAUUGAAACCCAAAACUCACUUUCUCCUUUCUCGCGGUGUCCUGACCACUGUGUCAAGCGGGCCACCGAAUUUACCCUCUGAUAACCACACCUAUCAGGCUCCACACUUAUCAACUGAGUACCACUCCAUGGCACUUUUCUCGAUCAAGAUCACAACAAUCACUUGACUCUUACGAGCUAGAUAUAACCCGGAACCACCGGGUUCCCGAUCCGAGUCCAACUUUAUCCACUCCAUGCUGACAGAAUGACACAUUCUUCAGCCUCAGAGCAACUCCCAUGUGUUCUCCUCUUGCAAUCACAUGCACAUGCUGAACUAGCCCUAGCACUCUCGAGUUGGGAAAACCCGUCACACUGACGACACCUCCAAACAUCCCCCAGGAUGAACCACCACUACAUACACAACUCCUUGAUCAGAAUCAAGCUGGGAAUCGAAGAUUCCAUCCCUGCAUCCCUUCCGAGCCUCUUGGCUCUACACCCGCGGAAUCCCUUCCGCGACCUCAGCGGAUAUCCCAUCCGGAUGUGAUUCCAUACCACUGCCGCAAUCGUGCUGCUCAAAGACCAUAAUUGGGUCACUCCAAUCAUAACUCUGCACUGAUGCUUUCACUUCCGUGAAUUUACACUCCCUCUCGGAGCUACAUUCCUCUCUUUUUCCUUACCAAGGAAAUCCACUUGGCCGCCUUGUCACUGCGAAAAGUGCCACGGUGCUCGCCCAACGCUACACCAUUCCCUUAUAGCAUAACUGCUAUCCAUGCAACACACAUGCUCUGAAUCUGCUCACAAGGACUCUCGAGUCCCUGCACCAUCUCUACUAAUAAAGAUCAAUACCUGGGGCCAGACCCUCUGAUGCUAACACAUCGCGACCUACCCAACCCAUUUCCUCGAACCGGUCUAACAAUACCUGCAGAGUCUUCAACAUGACUGGACCACCUUACCAGGCCUUCAGCCAAUCUGUACCACUCUCAGAACCUUCAGCCACUCUGGACCGCCCUCUAGGGCCUUCAAUCUGGCUGGACUGUCCUCUGAGCCUUUGGCCUGACUGGUACGCCCGCACCGGCCUUCAGUCUAUCCGGACCGCUCAACUAGCAUUCAUCAUUCCGAGUUAUCACUCCAGGAAAUCCUCCCAUGCAUACUGUUCUAGCCCUCUAGGGGUUUCGAACUCUAUCUCCAUCAUACAUACUUAAUCCCGGCCUGAUCCCAGGCCCUCCACAAACAAAUGCCCUAGGUCUGUAUCCCACCCCACAUGCCUGCCACUUACUCAUACCAGCCUACGCUCUUGGCUGAUAGAACACUGCUGAAUCCCAAACAGCUAAACAACCUCACAUGCUCAUCGAUCUUCUGGAGAAUUUUCCAAUUCUCCCCCACUUAUAGCACUGACUAUCAAUCGCCGGUCGCCAUCACCGACCUCCCUCAACAACCUUACACAACACAAUCACUUACACGCGAACUGCGUCCCGCAAGCACGAGUAACCUUCACGAAAUCAUAUAUCAACACUGAUCAUCCCGAACUCGAAAGAAACUCAUUCUGCAUCUAACCACUCCUCAGAAUACAGAUGCUACCCAACCUUCAAACCAGACGCCAGAUUUCCACUAACAAUCCCCAUGAAUGAUAACCAACGAAAUUCCCAUCACUAACCCAUAACCAUACCAAACCCUCAAGGAACAAUGAAUACCAUACCGAAAACCACACAAUGAGACUAGCAGAUAAACAAUACUCCACAAUAAUCACAAGAUAAUCAAGACAUCAAGAAAGAAACAUACCCGCAGCUGCAUCCGGCACUGCUCUGACCUCCUCUGCUGUAAGCUGAAAAGCACGACCCUAAGCCCUUGGGGGCACCGCUCCGCCCUGACCUCCAACCGUGACCCUCAAAGUGGCCGGUGCCGGAACCUGCACCGGUCCUGCAUCGAGCUGUGGACAGUUGACCCUCAAAUGUCCAACCUGAUGACAAUGAUAACAAAUCCUCAAAUCCCCAACUGGCGCUGACUGCCGACAAUCCCUCACAUAGUGCCCCUCCUUUCCGCACUUGCGGCAUGCACCACCAGACCUACAAACUCCAGUGUGACCCUUCCCACACUUCCCACAAGUGUGGCUGCUCUAAUCUCCCACCCUGGAAUCAACGGUCUUGGACCGUUUCGACGCCGGCUGCGACUGCAUUGGAGCCUGCCUCAGCUCACGCAACUGCAACUCAAUCUCCAACUCACGCCGCCUAGCGGCCUCCUGCAACUCUAAUAAAGUCUCGCACCUCUGCGUAGACACAAACUGUCUGAUAUCUCUCUUGAGCAUACUCAGAUAUCGGGACAUCUGAGCCUGCUCCGAAGCGAACUCAGGGCAAAACAUCGCCCUCUCAGUGAACAUCCUGGUGAUCUCCAUCACCGACUCCGAAUCCUGCUUCAGCUUAAGGAACUCCUGAGCCAAUCUCUCUCUUUCUCAACCCGCGGAACAUAACGAGUGCUGAACAUCUCUCUGAACUCAUCCCAUGAAACCGCAACCCUCUGCGCAUCCGAAUAUGACCCCGUGGUCAAUCUCCACCAAUCCUUCGCCCCGAGCCUUAACAGGUUUAGAGCACACCUCACCCUCUGAUCAGCAGGGCACGAACAUGUGAAGAAAUACCCCUCCACAUCCGGCAACCAUCUCAUAGCAACGAUCGUGUCCUGAACUCCGUGAAAGGUAGGAGGCUUCGUAUUAUCGAAGUCCUGAUACUAAAAACCCCGACCAGCUCCUCCCCCUGCUGCUAUAGCCGCGGCGGCAGCCGUCUCUGCGAGAGCUGCAUAACGCUCAUCAAAAUACUCAACCAUGGCGGUCUUGAUCGACCCAAACAGUUCCGACUACUCAGCCCGGAACAACGCAACAACCUCAUCAUGCAGGAUCUCACGAAUUCUUGCAUCCAACUUUCACGUGCUCAUCUGACCAAUAACCUCGGGCGGUACUGACCCGCCCGGAACUCCCUCUCCUGCUCCCGAUCCUGACCCGGAUCCACUCCUAGCAUGCCUCGAAAUCUCCAUACUGAAAAACACCACAAAAUCUCAGACACUUCCACGUGCUCAUCUGACCAAUAACCUCGGGCGGUACUGACCCGCCCGGAACUCCCUCUCCUGACCCGGAUCCACUCCCAGCAUGCCUCGAAAUCUCCAUACUGAAAAACACCACAAAAUCUCAGACACUUCCCACUAACCCGGGAACCAACUCUCAAACCAACCCUAGAGGUCAUGGUUUCCCUGAUACGCGUAUGGGUCCUGUGCUUUCAGUAGUACGGGCCCAUACUACCUUCCACACCUACCCAUAUUUGUAUGAAGUACUACCACAACACCCUAGUGAAAACAUACAUAACAAGCGCUCAAUCCUCACUACUAGAGGAACACUCGGUAUCUCCCACAAGGAAACCCUAGGCUAACAGGCAUCAUAAAUCAGGAAACAUUAUCAUGAAAUCCUGAAGAUCCCUAUCCUAGCACUAGCAUGUUGUUCUAUCAAAGCUCAAAAACUAAUAUCAUGUAUUUUGGGUUUACUUACUGGCUCCGGCUGAUCGUACCUCCGCGUCCUCCUUUACUCAUUUUGAAAACCAUUUUAAAUUCUCUUUUGAAAACCCUCCUCGAUUUUAGACUGGAAUCACACGAGUGUUCCUCCAAUUCACUCAAACAAAGGCUCUAAUACCAACUUGUAACGACCGAAAAAUUCCAACUAAUUUAAAUUUUUCAAAAACAACCCGAUUUCAUUAAAUUAUUACAAAAAGGUUUUCAAUACAAUUUAUUUAGAGUAUUCCCAUAAUCACAUCACAACAUAAACAUGAGGAGCGGUACGAUCACGCCUUCACCUUGCCACGGUCUCCUGAAGAACCUGAAAAACAUAAAACCACAACUGUAAGCCCGAAAGCUUAGUGAGAUAUCCCCAAAAUACCAACCACAUAUACCAU